Molecule: ribosomal RNA, 253 nt
Filed under: uncultured bacterium
Lineage: Bacteria
Description: partial 16S ribosomal RNA
Rfam family: Bacterial small subunit ribosomal RNA
Source: RNAcentral
UACGUAGGGUGCAAGCGUUAAUCGGAAUUACUGGGCGUAAAGCGUGCGCAGGCGGCUUUGCAAGACAGAUGUGAAAUCCCCGGGCUUAACCUGGGAACUGCAUUUGUGACUGCAUGGCUGGAGUGCGGCAGAGGGGGAUGGAAUUCCGCGUGUAGCAGUGAAAUGCGUAGAUAUCGAGAGGAACACCUGCGGCGAAGGCGGGUUGCUGGGCUGAUACUGACGCUGAUGCGCGAAAGCCAGGGGAGCGAACGGG